This 447-nucleotide ribosomal RNA is filed under the name uncultured bacterium. RNAcentral describes it as "partial 16S ribosomal RNA". It matches the Rfam family "Bacterial small subunit ribosomal RNA", at positions 29 to 523 of the family's 1533-position model. The record is from RNAcentral.
AACGAACGCUGGCGGCAGGCUUAACACAUGCAAGUCGAGCGCCCCGCAAGGGGAGCGGCAGACGGGUGAGUAACGCGUGGGAAUCUACCGUGCCCUACGGAAUAGCUCCGGGAAACUGGAAUUAAUACCGUAUACGCCCUACGGGGGAAAGAUUUAUCGGGGUAUGAUGAGCCCGCGUUGGAUUAGCUAGGUGGUGGGGUAAAGGCCUACCAAGGCGACGAUCCAUAGCUGGUCUGAGAGGAUGAUCAGCCACAUUGGGACUGAGACACGGCCCGAACUCCUACGGUAGGCAGCAGUGGGGAAUAUUGGACAAUGGGCGCAAGCCUGAUCCAGCCAUGCCGCGUGAGUGAUGAAGGUCUUAGGAUUGUAAAGCUCUUUCACCGGUGAAGAUAAUGACGGUAACCGGAGAAGAAGCCCCGGCUAACUUCGUGCCAGCAGCCGCCGCGG